CUGCCAUGAUGCCAGCUGCAGUGGGGGAGGCACAGCCGGGGCUGCAUGCUCCAUGAAUCCAAUGGGAGCCAGGAGCAGG
RNAcentral lists this microRNA precursor (79 nucleotides) under Chlorocebus sabaeus (green monkey). RNAcentral describes it as "miRNA (ENSCSAG00000025971.1)". Lineage: Eukaryota; Metazoa; Chordata; Mammalia; Primates; Cercopithecidae. The record is from RNAcentral.